GGCUGGAUCACCUCCUUUCUAAGGAGUAAUCAUAUGCCUGCUUCGCACGCAGGACUUCUAAUUUUAGGGAUCGUGGGCCCAGAGGGAUUGAGAUAAUCUUGGGCCUAUAGCUCAGUUGGUUUAGAGCAUUCCCCUGAUAAGGGAAAGGUCAGUGGUUCGAGUCCACUUAGGCCCACUAUCUUGUAGCAAAAGAUUAGAAAGAGGGGAUGUAGCUCAAUUGGGAGAGCGCUGCCCUUGCAAGGCAGAGGUUAGCGGUUCGACCCCGCUCAUCUCCACCACUUUAAAUUGUUGUAAAAAAUUUAAGGUGUAAAAUUUUGUUGUUUUGUUCUUUGAAAAGUGAAUACUUAACGGGUAGCAAUUAGAUCCUCAAUUGUGUGUGAUUAGAAGAUUACAUAAAUU
Molecule: transfer RNA, 399 nt
Filed under: Candidatus Brocadia sapporoensis
Lineage: Bacteria; Pseudomonadati; Planctomycetota; Candidatus Brocadiia; Candidatus Brocadiales; Candidatus Brocadiaceae
Description: 16S-23S ribosomal RNA intergenic spacer
Rfam family: tRNA (bases 101-175)
Source: RNAcentral